Molecule: ribosomal RNA, 482 nt
Filed under: uncultured bacterium
Lineage: Bacteria
Description: partial 16S ribosomal RNA
Rfam family: Bacterial small subunit ribosomal RNA
Source: RNAcentral
GACGAACGCUGGCGGCGCGCUUAACGCAUGCAAGUCGAGCGAUGAAAUCUUAACAGAACCCUUCGGGGUGAAGAUAAGACGGAUUAGCGGCGGACGGGUGAGUAACACGUGAGUAACCUGCCUUUUACACAGGGAUAGCCUCAGGAAACCGGGAUUAAAACCUGAUGAAACUAUCAAAUCACAUGAUUAAGAAAGUUAAAACUCCGGUGGUAAAAGAUGGACUCGCGUCCCAUUAGCUAGUUGGUGAAGGUAACGGCCCACCAAGGCAACGAUGGGUAGCCGGCCUGAGAGGGUGAACGGCCACAUUGGAACUGAGAAACGGUCCAAACUCCUACGGGAGGCAGCAGUGGGGAAUAUUGCACAAUGGGGGAAACCCUGAUGCAGCGACGCCGCGUGAGCGAAGAAGGCCUUCGGGUCGUAAAGCUCUUUUAUAUGGGAAGAUAAUGACGGUACCAUAAGAAAAAGCCCCGGCUAACUACGUG